RNAcentral lists this ribosomal RNA (377 nucleotides) under uncultured bacterium. RNAcentral's name for it is "bacterial SSU rRNA". It matches the Rfam family "Bacterial small subunit ribosomal RNA", at positions 523 to 898 of the family's 1533-position model. The record is from RNAcentral.
AUACGUAGGGGGCAAGCGUUAUCCGGAUUUACUGGGUGUAAAGGGAGCGUAGGUGGCAUAUCAAGUCAGAUGUGAAAGCCCGGGGCUCAACCCCGGGAUUGCAUUUGAAACUGGUUUGCUAGAGUGCAGGAGAGGUAAGUGGAAUUCCUAGUGUAGCGGUGAAAUGCGUAGAUAUUAGGAGGAACACCAGUGGCGAAGGCGGCUUACUGGACUGUAACUGACACUGAGGCUCGAAAGCGUGGGGAGCAAACAGGAUUAGAUACCCUGGUAGUCCACGCCAUAAACGAUGAAUACUAGGUGUCGGGGAGCAAAAGCUCUUCGGUGCCGUCGCAAACGCAUUAAGUAUUCCACCUGGGGAGUACGUUCGCAAGAAUGAA